UAUCCAACCAACACAACUACAGCGACCUCAGAAUUUCCAAACUAUCUUUGUUUUUUCGCACAUCUGUUCUGAAAAUCGAGUUUCCGUAAUCGGAAUUGGUAUGAUUAGUUUGGUGUUUAUUAUUGUUCUUGAAGAAUCAAUUAAGGAAUCACCGUUGAGCAUCUCUCCAGUGACCAGGAUACAGUGGCUGCUUAUGAACUACUUGACUAUUUCUCAUACGCAAUUUUGGAUUUUCCAUGUGAUGAUUCUGAAUUUUCUACAUUGUUUUUUGAGGGAACCAAAUUCAAAUCCUUAAAGUUAUUAAGCUCUAGUGGACAGAGGAAUGGAGGCGCAAUCAUCAAGACAAAGAAAAAUGAUCUUCUGCUUAUGCCAACUGCUAGGGAAAACGCAUAGACUAGAUGCCCAACUUGCAAACAUUAUGUGGAGAUGAAGGACCCAGUUUUGGUAUAACUGUGGUCGAAAUUUGUUAGAUGGCGCCAUGGUGGUAACUGAAAAUAUUCUACAAAACAGCCAUAGCAACCUCGCAUUUCCCAAACUACUAUCUUUACUAUGCUAGCACUGAUAGAUUAUGAACUGAUCCUUUUUUUUUUCUUUUUAUUAUAUCUCCACUAACUCUUAUCUCCUUAAAUUUGGUUUACUGGUUUGUUAGAUGGCUCCACGGUGGUAACUGACAAUAUCCUACAAAACAGCUAUAGCAACCUCGCAUUUCCAAAACUACUAUCUUUAUUUUGCUAGCCCUGAUAAUUAUGAACUGAUCAUUUUUUUUUUCUAUUAUAUCUCCACCAACUCUUAUCUCCUUAAAUUUGGUUUACUGUUCUUUCAUACAUGAAAUAGAAGAAACGUGGGAGUAUGUGUUCUUUGUUUUGUUUCUUUCAUUGGUAAGAUGGAAAACCCAACUUCUUUUUGGAAGUGUUGAUUUCCAUUUGUUCUGAAACGGGGCUGACCCCAAGUGGGAAGAUCCAGAAUGUGCUAGCGGCCACAAGUUGUAUAUACCAUACAAAAGGAGCUGUCUCGACUAUGUAUGGCUAGAAAUGAUUAUAUAUAUAUACACACAAUGGAAUUCCAGAACAGAAGAUUGUAUGUUGAGUUGCCAAAUAAAGACAAGGAUCAUGUAUGCUAAGCCAUCGUGUUCAUUUAGGAUGCAUGGAAACCAAGGUAACCACCCGAUGCGUAGCACGGGUUACUUCCAAGACUUAGCUCACCCCUGGUCCAAAUUUUCUACCAUUGAAAUCGAUUCUCUUGACACAGUAUCCUACGGCCUUGUUUGGCAAAAUUUAUGAUUAUCUAUUUAUGAUUAUAGAUAAUCAAAAAUAGAUAAAUGAUUUUAGUAUAAUCAUUUUUAUAAUAAAUUUUCACAAACACCUUUAUCAAAUAAUUGAUUAUUUUUAAAAAAUGCUCCCUAAAAGUAGUGGAA
This is a long non-coding RNA of Papaver somniferum (opium poppy), 1414 nucleotides long. RefSeq lists it as uncharacterized. The transcript is spliced from 6 exons. NCBI's taxonomy places the organism in Eukaryota, Viridiplantae, Streptophyta, Magnoliopsida, Ranunculales, Papaveraceae. The record is from RefSeq and is a predicted model, not a curated record.